GUGAAUCAUCAAAUUUUUGAACGCAAAUUGCACUCUCUUCGGAGAGUAUGCCUGUUUGAGGGUCAGUAUUAAUAAAAAUCGGUGUGUUGCUUCUUUGUGACGUUCCGGAGUUUGGGUCAUCUUAAUAUCCUUUAGGUUUUAAGUGGCUUAAAAUUGACUUUUCUUGCGCCUUUUAGAUGUACAUAAAUUCUUUUUUCUAUCCGUUUGUAUUACUGCUCAAAAUCCUAUUAGUUGCGAU
Molecule: unclassified non-coding RNA, 238 nt
Filed under: Glomeraceae sp.
Lineage: Eukaryota; Fungi; Glomeromycota; Glomeromycetes; Glomerales; Glomeraceae
Description: partial contains 5.8S ribosomal RNA and internal transcribed spacer 2
Rfam family: 5.8S ribosomal RNA (bases 1-65)
Source: RNAcentral